Zea mays is the source of this 213-nucleotide long non-coding RNA. RefSeq lists it as uncharacterized. The record is from RefSeq and is a predicted model, not a curated record. NCBI's taxonomy places the organism in Eukaryota, Viridiplantae, Streptophyta, Magnoliopsida, Poales, Poaceae. The transcript has 3 exons.
GGUCACUUCACUUUCCCAUGUUGAGGCAAAGAAGAGAUAUGAAUUUUUGGAGGCUGUUAGUGCGACGAUGGACUCACAUCUUCGAUAUUUUAAACAAGGAUAUGAACUAUUGCAUCAAAUGGAACCAUAUAUUAAUCAGUAGUUGGGAGAGGUGAUCUUUGCAUGAGUCCAGUAGAAUUUGAACCUUCUGUAAGUGAUGAUUUAGUACUGGAG